UACGUAGGGUGCGAGCGUUAAUCGGAAUUACUGGGCGUAAAGCGUGCGCAGGCGGUUCGCCAAGUCAGGGGUGAAGUCCCCGGGCUUAACCUGGGAAUUGCGCUUGAAACUAGCGGGCUUGAGUGUGGCAGAGGGGGGUGGAAUUCCACGUGUAGCAGUGAAAUGCGUAGAGAUGUGGAGGAACACCGAUGGCGAAGGCAGCCCCCUGGGUCAACACUGACGCUCAUGCACGAAAGCGUGGGGAGCAAACAGG
RNAcentral lists this ribosomal RNA (253 nucleotides) under uncultured bacterium. RNAcentral's name for it is "partial 16S ribosomal RNA". It matches the Rfam family "Bacterial small subunit ribosomal RNA", at positions 524 to 776 of the family's 1533-position model. The record is from RNAcentral.